CGGGGUGUGGUGCACCGGUAGCACGCUACGUUCGGGACGUAGAGGUACUGGGUUCAAUUCCCGGCACCCCGACAA
Molecule: transfer RNA, 75 nt
Filed under: Candidatus Gottesmanbacteria bacterium RIFCSPHIGHO2_01_FULL_39_10
Lineage: Bacteria; Candidatus Gottesmaniibacteriota
Description: tRNA-Pro
Rfam family: tRNA
About the family: Transfer RNA (tRNA) molecules are approximately 80 nucleotides in length. Their secondary structure includes four short double-helical elements and three loops (D, anti-codon, and T loops).
Source: RNAcentral